AAAGAGUUGAAAGACUCCCAAAACCCAUUGCGAAUAUACCUGUAUCGUUGCUUCGGCGGGCGGCCCCAGGGCGGGGCCUGCGCCCCGACCUCUUCGGAGCGAGGUGCCCGCCGACGGCCCUUAUAAACUCUUGUUAUCUGUAGGCAUUCUGAGCGACGAAGAUGGAAACGAGUUA
This 175-nucleotide unclassified non-coding RNA is filed under the name uncultured Sordariomycetes. RNAcentral describes it as "sequence contains ITS1". Lineage: Eukaryota; Fungi; Ascomycota; Sordariomycetes. The record is from RNAcentral.